UCGUGCUAGGCGGGGAGUUAGCGGUGCCCUGUAACCCGCAAUCCGCUAUAGCGGGGCGGAAUUCCCAAUCAGCGGCUCUCUUUCUUUCAGGGUCGGCCCUGGUGCAAGUGGCGUUGACAGCUGGGUCUUGUACGACGAGAGCUUGUAAACCCCGUCAGGUCCGGAAGGAAGCAGCGGUAAGCAAGGACUCUCGGGUGUUGCAAGGGUGCCUGGCUCGAGCCAACUACACCAUGGGCGCCUGGGGGGAAAAGUCAAUGAUGGGUGCACGA
This 269-nucleotide signal recognition particle RNA is filed under the name Nitrospinota bacterium. RNAcentral describes it as "signal recognition particle sRNA large type". It matches the Rfam family "Bacterial large signal recognition particle RNA". Rfam says of the family: The signal recognition particle (SRP) is a universally conserved ribonucleoprotein involved in the co-translational targeting of proteins to membranes. Archaeal SRP consists of a 7S RNA and homologues of the eukaryotic SRP19 and SRP54 proteins. Lineage: Bacteria; Pseudomonadati; Nitrospinota. The record is from RNAcentral.